This 464-nucleotide ribosomal RNA is filed under the name uncultured bacterium. RNAcentral's name for it is "bacterial SSU rRNA". It matches the Rfam family "Bacterial small subunit ribosomal RNA", at positions 338 to 795 of the family's 1533-position model. The record is from RNAcentral.
CCUACGGGUUGCACCAGUGGGGAAUAUUGCACAAUGGGCGCAAGCCUGAUGCAGCCAUGCCGCGUGUAUGAAGAAGGCCUUCGGGUUGUAAAGUACUUUCAGCGGGGAGGAAGGUGUUGAGGUUAAUAACCUCAGCAAUUGACGUACCCGCAGAAGAAGCACCGGCUAACUCCGUGCCAGCAGCCGCGGUAAUACGGAGGGUGCAAGCGUUAAUCGGAAUUACUGGGCGUAAAGCGCACGCAGGCGGUCUGUCAAGUCGGAUGUGAAAUCCCCGGGCUCAACCUGGGAACUGCAUUCGAAACUGGCAGGCUAGAGUCUUGUAGAGGGGGGUAGAAUUCCAGGUGUAGCGGUGAAAUGCGUAGAGAUCUGGAGGAAUACCGGUGGCGAAGGCAGCCCCCUGGACAAAGACUGACGCUCAGGUGCGAAAGCGUGGGGAGCAAACAGGAUUAGAUACCCGAGUAGUC